UACGAAGGGUGCAAGCGUUAAUCGGAAUUACUGGGCGUAAAGCGCGCGUAGGUGGUUCAGUAAGUUGGAAGUGAAAUCCCCGGGCUCAACCUGGGAACUGCUUUCAAAACUGCUGAGCUAGAGUACGGUAGAGGGUGGUGGAAUUUCCCGUGUAGCGGUGAAAUGCGUAGAUAUAGGAAGGAACACCAGUGGCGAAGGCGACCACCUGGACUGAUACUGACACUGAGGUGCGAAAGCGUGGGGAGCAAACAGG
This 253-nucleotide ribosomal RNA is filed under the name uncultured bacterium. RNAcentral's name for it is "partial 16S ribosomal RNA". It matches the Rfam family "Bacterial small subunit ribosomal RNA", at positions 524 to 776 of the family's 1533-position model. The record is from RNAcentral.